GGGAAUGGUAGUAGAGUUUUGGAGUAGACGCGGGGAAGGGCAGCAACCAACUGGUUUCUACCAGUGAAAAGAAAAGCUCUCUACUCGUUCGUUCUAGUCGCUGCCAAUUAACAAUAGCAAAUGACGCCUCGAUCAGUUCAAAUAGCGAAUCGGAGAAAAGAGAUCGAUAGUCACGUGACUCGAUAACCAAGUUCGAGAAAUGAAGAAAGAAAUAAAAGGAAAGAAAAAGAAAAAAAAAACAGAAACGACCAAAGAAAAAGAAAAAAGAAGUGGAUAAGAGAUGCAUUCGAUCGGAUCGAAUCUCUGAACAAUUUUUUCUCUCGCAUCGAUAAGAACGAGAUUAUUGAUAACGACGACAACAACGACGAGGACGAUUUCUCGUCGGUAUCUAACAAUCUCAAGAAUUCUAACCUUUUAUUUUCAGGAUGAUAGAUACUCUCUAUGAAGUUAGAUUUAGGUUAAGAAAGGGAGGGUGAAAAAGAAAAAAUAAUAAAAAAGAAUAUAAAGAAAAAUAAACUGGAAGAAAAAAAGGAAAACGAAGAAAAAAAAGAACCAAGUAUUGAGUAACGAGUUCAGAUCAUCGAAGCGUUAAUCAAAAAUUGGAUAAAUCGCGUCGGUAUAACGACGUAAUGGAUAUCUUGUAUCGCAGACGAUGUUAAACGUCGGAUAACUUUCUCUCUCUCUUUUUCUUUUUCGUCGUCUCCAUCUAUCUGUACAUCCAUCAAUCCUAUCUUUAUCUCUUUUCCUUUUACUAAGCGAAUUUAAUAUCCCAAAGCAUAAGGAGAUAACCAUAGAUAUAUGUAUACCUGUAUUCGCC
Long non-coding RNA from Vespa crabro (European hornet), 817 nucleotides. RefSeq lists it as uncharacterized. Lineage: Eukaryota; Metazoa; Arthropoda; Insecta; Hymenoptera; Vespidae. The transcript is spliced from 3 exons. The record is from RefSeq and is a predicted model, not a curated record.